Molecule: ribosomal RNA, 503 nt
Filed under: uncultured bacterium
Lineage: Bacteria
Description: bacterial SSU rRNA
Rfam family: Bacterial small subunit ribosomal RNA
Source: RNAcentral
CUGGCUCAGGAUGAACGCUAGCGGCAGGCUUAACACAUGCAAGUCGAGGGGCAUCGGGUGUAGCAAUACAUGCCGGCGACCGGCGAAAGGGUGAGUAACGCGUGAGCAACGUGCCCGUAUGUGGGGGAUAGUCAUUAGAAAUGAUGCGUAAUACCCCGUAACACAAGGAAUCGCAUGGUUCUUGUUGAAAGAUUUAUGCAUACGGAUCGGCUCGCGUGCCAUUAGGUAGACGGCGGGGUAACGGCCCACCGUGCCGACGAUGGCUAGGGGUUCUGAGAGGAAGGUCCCCCACAUUGGAACUGAGACACGGUCCAGACUCCUACGGGAGGCAGCAGUGAGGAAUAUUGGACAAUGGCCGGAAGGCUGACCCAGCCAUGCCGCGUGCGGGAAGAACCGGCCCUAUGGGUUGUAAACCGCUUUUGCGGGGGAGCAAUAAGGUGCACGUGUGCACCGAUGAGAGUACCCUGCGAAUAAGCAUCGGCUAACUCCGUGCCAGCAGCUGC